AAUUCCAUCCCCUGCAAUUGGAGCCUGAAUAAUGAGUUAUUUCACAGGAAGAUUGAUCUGGGUAUUAGGGCAUCAUUUAGUUUGCCAUUACAACAGCCAAUUUUGGUUACAUGCUCAGCUGUGAAGGGGAAAUGGGCCAGCCUGCUGGAGCUUUCUAAAGCAUGGAGCUGAGAACAGUGCAGUCUUCAGGGAUCUGGUGAGCAGACGGCUACAGGAUUUGUACCCCAGGAUUAAAGCCAGAAACCAAAAGACCGUCUGCUGGUACCCGUAGGAGGGAGGAUACAGGUCAUUUUCAUGUGCAGUGACAUCGUAGGAACGGUCACUGCGCAGGAUCGAGCUACAAUGAAGAGGAGGGAGGCAGUCUGCACGCACCGCCAUUUUCUAGGAACUGGGAAGCCCCCCCACCCCUUAGGAAGAUCCAUCCCUGUGGAACCUUGCCAAGGCUUACCAGCCUUUGCUGAGCUUGAUCUAUUGUCCCUCCUUGUCCCCAUCAAAAUAUCCAGCACUCCACCUUCAGGGAGUAGACUUGACCCUCAAAUAGCAAGUUCAGCCUUCCCAGGUCUAGGUUCCCUGGGAGGUCAAGAUUCGUCUGGUUCCUUAGUACAGAGGGCUAGCUGUGAGUUGGAAUCCCCCUAUGAGCUUUAGAAUCAGUCAAGAGAAACUGGGCCCCUUCCCUUCAUCCCUCUUCUUUUCCCUUUUUGUCCCAGAGCUCAGCUCUGACUCAAAGUUUUUCCAUUUACCAUCAACAUGGAAACUUGGCUCCUCACAUGCCUAUAUUAUCCCCCUUUUGCACAUGGUCUUGUUGAUCAAAACUCCCUUUCUGUGAAAGAGGCCUGUGGGGCUCAAGAAGCCUGGUCAGCCAGCCAGGCUAGUCCCACAUACCUCAGAACCAGUUUAAUAAAGGCUCUAUGUCAUUCU
Molecule: non-coding RNA, 918 nt
Filed under: Pongo abelii (Sumatran orangutan)
Lineage: Eukaryota; Metazoa; Chordata; Mammalia; Primates; Hominidae
Source: RNAcentral